AACGAACGCUGGCGGCAUGCCUAACACAUGCAAGUCGAACGAGACCUUCGGGUCUAGUGGCGCAAGGGUGCGUAACGCGUGGGAACCUGCCCUUAGGUUCGGAAUAACUCCCCGAAAGGGGUGCUAAUACCAAAUAAUGUCUUCGGACCAAAGAUUUAUCGCCUUUGGAUGGGCCCGCGUUGGAUUAGCUAGUUGGGAGGGUAAAAGCCUACCAAGGCGACGAUCCAUAGCUGGUCUGAGAGGAUGAUCAGCCACACUGGGACUGAGACACGGCCCAGACUCCUACGGGAGGCAGCAGUGGGGAAUAUUGGACAAUGGGCGAAAGCCUGAUCCAGCAAUGCCGCGUGAGUGAUGAAGGCCUUAGGGUUGUAAAGCUCUUUUAACCGGGAUGAUAAUGACAGUACCGGGAGAAUAAGCUCCGGCUAACUCCGUG
Molecule: ribosomal RNA, 433 nt
Filed under: uncultured bacterium
Lineage: Bacteria
Description: partial 16S ribosomal RNA
Rfam family: Bacterial small subunit ribosomal RNA
Source: RNAcentral